AAAUGAAUAGACGGGGACCCGCACAAGCAGCGGAGCAUGUGGUUUAAUUCGAUGCAACGCGAAGAACCUUACCAGGGCUUGACAUGUAGUUGUAAGGCUUAGAGAUAAGUCCCUCUCUUCGGAGACAGCUAUACAGGUGGUGCAUGGUUGUCGUCAGCUCGUGUCGUGAGAUGUUGGGUUAAGUCCCGCAACGAGCGCAACCCCUAUCUUUAGUUACUAACAGGUAAUGCUGAGGACUCUAGAGAGACUGCCGGUGACAAACCGGAGGAAGGUGGGGACGACGUCAAAUCAUCAUGCCCUUUAUGUCCUGGGCUACACACGUGCUACAAUGGUCGGUACAACGGGCAGCCAACGAGCGAUCGUGAGCGAAACCCAAAAAGCCGAUCCCAGUUCGGAUUGCAGGCUGCAACUCGCCUGCAUGAAGUCGGAGUUGCUAGUAAUCGCGGAUCAGAAUGCCGCGGUGAAUGCGUUCCCGGGUCUUGUACACACCGCCCGU
Molecule: ribosomal RNA, 496 nt
Filed under: uncultured bacterium
Lineage: Bacteria
Description: bacterial SSU rRNA
Rfam family: Bacterial small subunit ribosomal RNA
Source: RNAcentral